UACAAGAAUAUAUUGACAAAGAUUGGCCUCUUAAUACCGUUAUGACAAAUAGAUAUC
RNAcentral lists this small RNA (57 nucleotides) under Arabidopsis thaliana (thale cress). Its description in RNAcentral is "ATSL204930". Lineage: Eukaryota; Viridiplantae; Streptophyta; Magnoliopsida; Brassicales; Brassicaceae. The record is from RNAcentral.